AGCGAACGCUGGCGGCAGGCUUAACACAUGCAAGUCGAGCGGGCACUUCGGUUUUAGCGGCAGACGGGUGAGUAACACGUGGGAACGUACCCUUUGGUUCGGAAUAACGCUGGGAAACUAGCGCUAAUACCGGAUACGCCCUUUUGGGGAAAGGCUUGUUGCCGAAGGAUCGGCCCGCGUCAGAUUAGCUAGUUGGUGGGGUAAUGGCCUACCAAGGCGACGAUCAGUAGCUGGGCUGAGAGGAUGAUCAGCCACACUGGGACUGAGACACGGCCCCGACUCCUCCGGGAGGCAGCAGUGGGGAAUACUGGACAAUAGGCGCAAGCCUGAUCCAGCCAUGCCGCGUGAGUGAUGAAGGCCUUAGGGUUGUAAAGCUCUUUUGACCGGGACGAUAAUGACGGUACCGGAAGAAUAAGCCCCGGCUAACUUCGUG
This 433-nucleotide ribosomal RNA is filed under the name uncultured bacterium. RNAcentral's name for it is "partial 16S ribosomal RNA". It matches the Rfam family "Bacterial small subunit ribosomal RNA", at positions 29 to 507 of the family's 1533-position model. The record is from RNAcentral.